This 750-nucleotide ribosomal RNA is filed under the name uncultured bacterium. Its description in RNAcentral is "bacterial SSU rRNA". It matches the Rfam family "Bacterial small subunit ribosomal RNA", at positions 58 to 783 of the family's 1533-position model. The record is from RNAcentral.
UAAAGCCUAACUGGCAGUUCCGAACGAAGAAGACCUUUCGGGUCCUCCAGUGGCGAACGGGUGAGUAACACGUAGGGAACCUGCCCGCGCACCGGGAAUACGCUCUGGAAACGGAGAACAAAUCCCGAUGUACAGGAAGGAGGCAUCUUCUUUCUGUGAAACAUCCUUUAGGGGAUGGGGCGCGGAUGGACCUGCGGUGCAUUAGUUGGUUGGCGGGGUAAAGGCCCACCAAGACGAUGAUGCAUAGCCGGCCUGAGAGGGCGGACGGCCACAUUGGGACUGAGACACGGCCCAGACUCCUGCGGGAGGCAGCGGUAGGGAAUUUUCGUCAAUGGGCGCAAGCCUGAACGAGCGAUGCCGCGUGAGUGAAGAAGGCCUUCGGGUCGUAAAGCUCUGUUGCGGGGGAAAAAAGGCAGCAUCAGGAAAUAGGUGCUGACUGAUGGUGCCCCGCCAGAAAGUCACGGCUAACUACGUGCCAGCAGCCGCGGUAAUACGUAGGUGGCGAGCGUUAUCCGGAAUGAUUGGGCGUAAAGGGUGCGCAGGCGGUCCUGCAAGUCUGGAGUGAAACGCAUGAGCUCAACUCAUGCACGGCUUUGGAAACUGGAGGACUGGAGAGCAGGAGAGGGCGGUGGAACUCCAUGUGUAGCGGUAAAACGCGUAAAUAUAUGGAAGAACACCAGUGGCGAAGGCGGCCGCCUGGCCGUUGCUGACGCUGAGGCACGAAAGCGUGGGGAGCAAAUAGGAUUAGAU